RNAcentral lists this unclassified non-coding RNA (351 nucleotides) under soil metagenome. RNAcentral describes it as "partial contains 5.8S ribosomal RNA, internal transcribed spacer 2, and large subunit ribosomal RNA". The stretch from base 1 to 120 matches the Rfam family "5.8S ribosomal RNA", at positions 35 to 154 of the family's 154-position model. The record is from RNAcentral.
GAUGAAGAACGCAGCGAAAUGCGAUAAUUAAUGUGAAUUGCAGAAUUCAGUGAAUCAUCGAAUCUUUGAACGCACAUGGCGCCUUCCAGUAUCCUGGGAGGCAUGCCUGUCCGAGCGUCGUUUCAACCCUCGAGCCCCCGUGGCCCGGCGUUGGGGAUCUGCCACGGCAGGCCCCUAAAACCAGUGGCGGACCCGAAGGCCCUCUCCUUUGCGCAGUAGCAUCAGCCUCGCAUUGGGAUCCCUCGGCGUCCUGCCUCUAAACCCCCCACAAGUCCGCUCCGGCGGCACCAAGGUUGACCUCGGAUCAGGUAGGAAUACCCGCUGAACUUAAGCAUAUCAAUAAGCGGAGGA